Molecule: unclassified non-coding RNA, 208 nt
Filed under: Hevea brasiliensis (rubber tree)
Lineage: Eukaryota; Viridiplantae; Streptophyta; Magnoliopsida; Malpighiales; Euphorbiaceae
Source: RNAcentral
UGGGACUUGGGAGCUGGAAUUUAUAUAUCAUUCUAUCUCAUAAGAAGUUCAUUGCAAGAAAACAAUAAUACAAUGAGUGAACUGGAUUCUCUUGAGAACAAAAGUUCUACCUGUAGAGACUUCCUUGGUCACCUGAAUGAAUCUGUGGCAGUUUUUGCUGAUCGAUUACCAAUUGAUGCAAGGGUAGCAUACUCAAAGAUGGCAGAGG